RNAcentral lists this ribosomal RNA (357 nucleotides) under bacterium enrichment culture clone ALO1_GLFRUDD03F6NSO. Its description in RNAcentral is "bacterial SSU rRNA". It matches the Rfam family "Bacterial small subunit ribosomal RNA", at positions 9 to 352 of the family's 1533-position model. The record is from RNAcentral.
GAGUUUGAUCGUGGCUCAGGAUGAACGCUGGCGGCGUGCUUAACACAUGCAAGUCGAACGAAGCACUCAGGAGCGAUUUCGGUCAAUCCUGUUUGACUGAGUGGCGGACGGGUGAGUAACGCGUGAGUAACCUACCUCGCAGUGGGGAAUAACAGUUGGAAACGACUGCUAAUACCGCAUAAUGCAGAGAGACCGCAUGAUCUUUCUGCCAAAGAUUUAUCGCUGUGAGAUGGACUCGCGUCUGAUUAGCUAGUUGGUGAGGUAACGGCUCACCAAGGCGACGAUCAGUAGCCGGACUGAGAGGUUGACCGGCCACAUUGGGACUGAGACACGGCCCAGACUCCUACGGGAGGCAGC